AUUCAGUAGAAUAUCAACGUUUUAACUUGAGUUUCGCUCUAUCGAAAAUUGUCCGAAGUCCUGCAGUAGUAUUAAGAUAUGGCACCAAUGCUUCUUUUGAUAUGCAUAGUCGCAACAACCAUGAGUUUCGGAGAGAUUCGAGCUGUUUCCUCCGAGCGAUCACAAGAUAUCGAACUUAAUGUCAAUAAUGGACAAACAAGUGAAAAUCAUGAUGACCGUUCAGAUGAUCUACUAGUAAGAUGUCCUACUGGAUUCUGGUGUUGAAGAUAAUGACACAGCAUGAAUGAAUGAAUGAAUCAUCUGAAUAAAACAAUUGAAGUUUGAGAUAGUGAAAUGAA
Saccoglossus kowalevskii is the source of this 338-nucleotide long non-coding RNA. Lineage: Eukaryota; Metazoa; Hemichordata; Enteropneusta; Harrimaniidae. The record is from RefSeq and is a predicted model, not a curated record.